UAAAACUCGAAACCCUCUUUGAUCCCCAAUUUUCCUGUCUUACAUGCAUCUCUCGAACCUUUACGAAAUCUGACGGAUAUUUUCGUUUUCAGCGACCCAAGUACUCCGCUUAGCUUGUCCGUUAAGUAAAUUAUCUUCACUUUCUGCUAAUGUUCGGUUAAAUUUCAAUCCAAUUGUCUCUUUAUUUGAUCAUGUUAUAUGUGUUUGUGCGUGCGUAUAUGGUUUAUUACCUUCAUUGAUAUUAAAUUAAUUGAUAUUUUUUCCGGAGUUAGUAUUAUACAUUUGUGGAAAUUCCAGGUUGUUGUGUAGACAUGUUUUUUGCUAAAUAUAUUUGUGUACUUAUGAUUCUUCUGUCCCUUUUUCCUUAAAUGGAAAUAUGGAAUGUGUGUGCAUGUUUAUAAUGGCGGAGAAUGUAUGGACGACUCCAUGUUUUGUUGCUGAAAACAUGUAGCGCGUCUUUGGCCCCCAUUCUUAGCUAAUUUUAACGGAUGGAAUAGUGUUUUUUUGAAAAAUGUGUACUUGGAAAAGAAUGAAAAGUUUUUUAUUUGUAUUUAAUAUUAUUUCAUAGAAGAUUGUGUGGAUGAAAAUAAGAGAGAUAAAAAGAAUGAGAAUGAGAUAAGAAUGAGGGGCGUAGUGUAAAAGUGUAUUUUAGUUGUUUUUUUAAAUGAAGUUUUAAUUCGAAAUUGAAAUUGAAAUUUUACAUCGUAUAUCCACUAUGUUUCGUGUUCCCUUGAUUUCAUGCGAUUUACUUCAUGUCUUUUCAUGAAUGUAUAUAAUUGGAGAGAGUGUAUGGACAACUCCAUGAUUUGUUACUGAGAAAUAUAUGUGAAGGUUUGUUGUUU
This 842-nucleotide long non-coding RNA is filed under the name Olea europaea subsp. europaea. Lineage: Eukaryota; Viridiplantae; Streptophyta; Magnoliopsida; Lamiales; Oleaceae. The record is from RNAcentral.